Raphanus sativus (radish) is the source of this 992-nucleotide long non-coding RNA. RefSeq lists it as uncharacterized. The transcript has 2 exons. NCBI's taxonomy places the organism in Eukaryota, Viridiplantae, Streptophyta, Magnoliopsida, Brassicales, Brassicaceae. The record is from RefSeq and is a predicted model, not a curated record.
AGAAGAAGCAAGCAACAUCUGUGAAUUGCACGGAUGAGCCGAAGGGGAGAAUCCAGAAAUCUCCGAAAAGCGUGAGAGUUUGAACUUUGAAGUCUCCGUCGUUGCUCCUAAAGGGCGGUGUGAAUCAAGAUCGUUCCGAUGGACCUGACCACUUCAUCUUCUCCGCCCUCGUCGACUUCAAACUUCCGAUGCAAUAUGAACUGAAGCUCAGACAUUUUUGGUGAUGAAAGAAGUAUGAAUGUGCGUAAGCAGCCCCUAUCUUUCAGAUUUUGUCUAUGGAGAAGUCAUGCUGCCAAGUACCAACAACAGAGUCAACACUUCAUGUAUUAUAAUUUCUUUUUUCCUCUCAUUUUCUUUUUUUUUCUUUCAAAACAUUAUUUGAACUUGCAUGAAAACGGUUUUCUAAAUCAUUUUUUGAGAAAAAGAAACAUUUUUAAAAAUCUGUUAUUCUUUUCCUUUUUUUUCUUUUUUGACUAAGACAAAAGAUUUUUCAAGGUUUUCAGAGAAAAGAAAUAUAGAAACUAGAUUGAUUAUGAAAACUUAUGUGUAAAUUUGUGACAAACACGUAGAAUAUACAUGUCUUUUAGAUCGUUAGAGAUGCUAUGUUUCAUUUGAUUUAACAUUAUGAUCACUAAGUUAAUUCUUUUCCUUUUUUUCUUUUUUUUUGACUAAGACAAAAGAUUUUUCAAGGUUUUCAGGGAAAAAAAAUAUAGAAACUAGAUUGAUUAUGAAAACUUAUGUGUAAAUUUGUGACAAACACGUAGAAUGUACAUGUCUUUUAGAUCGUUAGAGAUGCUAUGUUUCAUUUGAUUUAACAUUAUGAUCACUAAAAUAAUUUUAGUCAAUUUAGUAAAUAUAAAAAGUUUCCCUUUUGUUUUGUUUUUGAUUUAAAACAUGACUUUUUAAGUUUUUUAGGAAAUAACUAGAUUGAUCAUUAAAACUUAUGUGUAAAUUUGUGACAAACAAAAUAGAAUAUACAUGUCUUUGAGAUC